AAAUGAAUUGACGGGGACUCGCACAAGCGGUGGAGCGUGCGGCUUAAUUCGUCGCUAAGCGAAGAACCUCACCAGGGCUUGAAACCUAGCUGUAAGCUUCCAGAAACGGAAGCCCUCUUCGGACUGCUAGGCAGGUGAUGCAUGGCCGUCGUCAGUUCGUGGUUUGAAUUGUACCGUUAAGUCGGGCAACGAACGCAACCCCUAUUGUCUGUUAUACGUGUCAGACGAGACUGCCCUUUUUGGGAGGAAGGUGGGGAUGACGCCAGGUCCGUAUUUCCCUCUGAUGCCCUGGGCGGCACGCGCGCUACAAUGGGUGCUACAACAGGAAGCGACGGGGUAACCCUAAGCAAAUCUUUUAAAAGCAUCCUCAGUUCGGAUUGUGGGCUGCAACUCGCCCACAUGAAGUCGGAAUCGCUAGUAAUCGCAGGUCAGCCACACUGCGGUGAAUACGUUCUCGAGUCUUGUACACACCGCCCGU
This 478-nucleotide ribosomal RNA is filed under the name uncultured bacterium. Its description in RNAcentral is "bacterial SSU rRNA". It matches the Rfam family "Bacterial small subunit ribosomal RNA", at positions 903 to 1397 of the family's 1533-position model. The record is from RNAcentral.